GCAGGGUAGCCUAGUGGUUAGAGUGUAGAGGUGGCAGGGUAGCCUAGUGGUUAGAGUGUAGAGGAGGCAGGGUAGCCUAGUGGUUAGAGUGUAGAGGCAGCAGGGUAGCCUAGUGGUUAGAGUGUAGAGGAGGCAGGGUAGCCUAGUGGUUAGAGUGUAGAGGUGGCAGGGUAGCCUAGUGGUUAGAGUGUAGAGGUGGCAGGGUAGCCUAGUGGUUAGAGUGUAGAGGUGGCAGGGUAGCCUAGUGUUUAGAGUGUAGAGGUGGUAGGGUAGCCUAGUGGUUAGAGUCUAGGGACAGUAGGGUAGCCUAGUGGUUAGAGUGUAGAGGCGGCAGGUAGUCUAGUGGUUAGAGUGUAGAGGUGGCAGGGUAGCCUAGUGGUUAGAGUGUAGAGGAGGCAGGGUAGCCUAGUGGAUAGAGUGUAGAGGUGGCAGGGUAGCCUAGUGGUUAGAGUGUAGUGACGGCAGGUAGCCUAGUGGUUAGAGUGUAGAGGAGGCAGGGUAGCCUAGUGGUUAGAGUGUAGAGGUGGCAGGGUAGCCUAGUGGUUAGAGUGUAGAGGCGGCAGGGUAGCCUAGUGGUUAGAGUGUAGAGGAGGCAGGGUAGCCUAGUGGUUAGAGUGUAGAG
Oncorhynchus tshawytscha (Chinook salmon) is the source of this 622-nucleotide long non-coding RNA. The record is from Ensembl. NCBI's taxonomy places the organism in Eukaryota, Metazoa, Chordata, Actinopteri, Salmoniformes, Salmonidae.